This 663-nucleotide long non-coding RNA is filed under the name Marmota monax (woodchuck). The record is from RNAcentral. Lineage: Eukaryota; Metazoa; Chordata; Mammalia; Rodentia; Sciuridae.
AAGAAAAGUACCAGCCCUAGCUUGACCCCCAGGCACCCCAUGAGUGUUCUCAGACACAAGUUUAUUCCUAUAGUUGUUUAUGAUGAUUCUCUCAAAUGACAGGCAAGACAGACAACAUGUCUGUCAGGAGCUGCCACAUAGGAACCAGAUGCCCCUUAGCCUUGAGCAAUGAGAAUGUGGAGAUGUGACAAGCCAGCCAUGGGGUGUGUGUGUGUGUGUGUGUGUGUGUGUGAGAACUACGAGCAUUGAGUGCCAAAGUGGACUGAACCCACUUUGCCCCUCUGUUUGGGCGAGCUUGGCUCUGGUCUUUUCGCUGGCUCUGCCUGUGAUCCCCACACAGCUCAUGAGAUGGGCAUGGCCUUCCUAGAUGUCAGUCGGCCUGCUGACAGUAGACAGCACAAAGCUAGACUCAACCCCUGGAACCUGACCCCUGGCCUCAUUUGAAUAGCUUCUCCCCAAUAAAAGGGUUCAGCUCCUCUCUCUCUUUCCACGGACAUCUAAGAUCAGAGGAGCUGUCAUAAGACCCAAGAAAAUGGUAUUUCUCGGGCUGGGGAUGUGGCUCAAGCGGUAGCGCGCUCGCCUGGCAUGCGUGCGGCCCAGGUUCAAUCCUCAGUACCACAUACAAAGAUGUUGUGUCCGCCAAUAACUAAAAAAUAAAUAUUA